UACGUAGGGGGCAAGCGUUGUCCGGAAUUAUUGGGCGUAAAGCGCGCGCAGGCGGUCCUUUAAGUCUGAUGUGAAAUCACGUGGCUCAACCACGUGCGGUCAUUGGAAACUGGAGGACUUGAGUGCAGAAGAGGAAAGUGGAAUUCCAAGUGUAGCGGUGAAAUGCGUAGAGAUUUGGAGGAACACCAGUGGCGAAGGCGACUUUCUGGUCUGUAACUGACGCUGAGGCGCGAAAGCGUGGGGAGCAAACAGG
This 253-nucleotide ribosomal RNA is filed under the name uncultured bacterium. RNAcentral's name for it is "partial 16S ribosomal RNA". It matches the Rfam family "Bacterial small subunit ribosomal RNA", at positions 524 to 776 of the family's 1533-position model. The record is from RNAcentral.